CCUACGGGUGGCAGCAGUGGGGAAUAUUGGGCAAUGGGCGCAAGCCUGACCCAGCAACGCCGCGUGAAGGAAGAAGGCUUUCGGGUUGUAAACUUCUUUUCUGAGGGACGAAGAAAGUGACGGUAACUCAGGAAUAAGCCACGGCUAACUACGUGCCAGCAGCCGCGGUCAUACGUAGGUGGCAAGCGUUAUCCGGAUUUCUUGGGUGUAAAGGGCGUGUAGGGGGGAAAGCAAGUCAGAUGUGAAAACUCAGGGCUCAACCCUGAGCCUGCAUUUGAAACUGGUUUUCUUGAGUGCUGGAGAGGCAAUCGGAAUGCCGGGGGUAGCGGUGAAAUGCGUAGAUAGACGGAGGAACACCAGUGGCGAAGGCGGAUUGCUGGACAGUAACUGACGCUGAGGCGCGAAAGCGUGGGGAGCAAACAGGAUUAGAUACCCGAGUAGUC
This 443-nucleotide ribosomal RNA is filed under the name uncultured bacterium. RNAcentral describes it as "partial 16S ribosomal RNA". It matches the Rfam family "Bacterial small subunit ribosomal RNA", at positions 338 to 795 of the family's 1533-position model. The record is from RNAcentral.